Molecule: small nucleolar RNA, 139 nt
Organism: Ornithorhynchus anatinus (platypus)
Lineage: Eukaryota; Metazoa; Chordata; Mammalia; Monotremata; Ornithorhynchidae
Source: RefSeq, a predicted model, not a curated record
CAUCUCUCAGGGUCGCACCUGGAGAGUUUCCAGUCCUCUACCAGUCUCGACUAGGGGAGGGAGAGUCAGAGCAGAGGCCUACGUGUUCCAUUCCCAGCUUGGCCAGUGGCUAGCGAGUGGAAGGCCAUCUGCUACGAGU